UCAGCAAUGGGAGUCGCUGUAUAGGUGCUGCAUGGCUGUCGUCAGCUCGUGUCGUGAGAUGUUGGGUUAAGUCCCGCAACGAGCGCAACCCUUGUCGUUAGUUACCAGCGGGUAAUGCCGGGGACUCUAACGAGACUGCCUGUGAUAAACAGGAGGAAGGUGGGGAUGACGUCAAGUCCUCAUGGCCCUUACGUCUGGGGCUACACACGUGCUACAAUGGCCGGCACAGAGAGAAGCAAUACUGCAAGGUGGAGCAAAUCUCCAAAGCCGGUCCCAGUUCGGAUUGGAGUCUGCAAUUCGACUCCAUGAAGUUGGAAUCGCUAGUAAUCGCGGAUCAGCACGCCGCGGUGAAUACGUUCCCGGGCCUUGUACACACCGCCCGUCACACCACGAAAGUUGGUUGUACCAGAAGUCGGUGUACCAACCCGCAAGGGAGGAAGCCGCCGAAGGUAUGGCUGGUGAUUGGGGUGAAGUCGUAACAAGGUAGCCGUAUCGGAAGG
Molecule: ribosomal RNA, 500 nt
Filed under: uncultured bacterium
Lineage: Bacteria
Description: bacterial SSU rRNA
Rfam family: Bacterial small subunit ribosomal RNA
Source: RNAcentral